UGCAAAGAACUUUGAAGAGAGAGUUAAAAAGGACGUGAAACCACUGGCAGGUAAACGGGUGGAACCACGAAGUGUGCCCGCUGGUCAAUUCAAUCAGUGCCGUGUGCCAGUUGUGCUCGAGUGUUGUGUCUCUCUGGAGGCUGCUCGAGUGUAACUUGUGGCGCGCGGUGCUGGUGCAUUUUGAGCCGGGCGGUGCUAAUGCCACGUCCGACUAGGUGGUUGGGAUGGCCGUAGUGUGUGUCUCGAGGAAGGUGGCAGUCGUGAGCUUGCUUGCGGCUGUGUUAUAGCCUCGAGGCCGUGCCAUCGCCUAACGUGCUGGUCGGUAGAAUGAUUCCAUUUGGAAUGUCGCUUGUAGAGGUUGUUGGUGCUGCCGGGCGUCGCGGUCGCUACACUUGGUUGGACAUUUGCGUGUCUUUGGGCGCGUAAAGACGAUCUUGUGACUGUGGUCUAGGCGUUCGUUGCAUGAGGCAGCUGUACAAACGGUGGCACGAGUAGGUCGGUCUCCACCCGACCCGUCUUGAAACACGGACCAAGGAGCCUAUCAUGUACGCGAGUCGCUCAGUCUUGUUUAGGCUCGGGAGGCGCAAUGAAAGUAAUUGUUACGAGGCUCGCAAGGGUCGCAGUAACAGCCCGCCGGCUUCGUUUAUUUGGCGAUAUGGCGGAGUUGGAGCGUACACGAUGGUACCCGAAAGAUGGUGAACUAUGCCUGGGCAGGACGAAGCCAGAGGAAACUCUGGUGGAGGUUCGCAGCGGUUCUGACGUGCAAAUCGAUCGUCAGACCUGGGUAUAGGGGCGAAAGACUAAUCGAACCAUCUAGUAGCUGGUU
This 826-nucleotide ribosomal RNA is filed under the name Oulenziella bakeri. RNAcentral describes it as "eukaryotic LSU rRNA". It matches the Rfam family "Eukaryotic large subunit ribosomal RNA", at positions 365 to 956 of the family's 3401-position model. Lineage: Eukaryota; Metazoa; Arthropoda; Arachnida; Sarcoptiformes; Winterschmidtiidae. The record is from RNAcentral.